RNAcentral lists this ribosomal RNA (301 nucleotides) under uncultured bacterium. Its description in RNAcentral is "partial 16S ribosomal RNA". It matches the Rfam family "Bacterial small subunit ribosomal RNA", at positions 509 to 807 of the family's 1533-position model. The record is from RNAcentral.
CAGCAGCCGCGGUAAUACGUAGGGGGCAAGCGUUAUCCGGAAUUACUGGGUGUAAAGGGAGCGUAGACGGUUAAACAAGUCUGAAGUGAAAUGCCGGGGCUCAACCCCGGAGCUGCUUUGGGAACUGUAGAACUGGAGUGUCGGAGGGGUGAGCGGAAUUCCCAGUGUAGCGGUGAAAUGCGUAGAUAUUGGGAGGAACACCGGCGGCGAAGGCGGCUUACUGGACGACAACUGACGUUGAGGCUCGAAGGCGUGGGUAGCAAACAGGAUUAGAUACCCCAGUAGUCCCUGUCUCUUAUAC